AACGCGAAGAACCUUACCUACCCUUGACAUCCUGCGAAUUCUGAUGAGAGUUGGGAGUGCCGAAAGGAACGCAGAGACAGGUGCUGCAUGGCUGUCGUCAGCUCGUGUUGUGAGAUGUUGGGUUAAGUCCCGUAACGAGCGCAACCCUUGUUCUUAGUUGCCAGCAAGUAAAGUUGGGGACUCUAAGAAGACUGCCGGUGAUGAACCGGAGGAAGGCGGGGACGACGUCAAGUCAUCAUGGCCUUUAUGGGUAGGGCUACACACGUGCUACAAUGGGGCGUACAGAGGGUAGCCAACCAGCGAUGGGGAGCCAAUCUCUUAAAGCGUCUCGUAGUCCGGAUUGGAGUCUGCAACUCGACUCCAUGAAGUUGGAAUCGCUAGUAAUCGCGAAUCAGCAUUGUCGCGGUGAAUACGUUCCCGGGCCUUGUACACACCGGUACUA
This 442-nucleotide ribosomal RNA is filed under the name uncultured bacterium. Its description in RNAcentral is "bacterial SSU rRNA". It matches the Rfam family "Bacterial small subunit ribosomal RNA", at positions 958 to 1398 of the family's 1533-position model. The record is from RNAcentral.